UACGUAGGGGGCAAGCGUUGUCCGGAAUUAUUGGGCGUAAAGAGCGCGUAGGCGGUCCGGUAAGUCGGUUGUGAAAGUCGGGGGCUCAACCCUCGGAUGCCGAUCGAUACUGUCGGGCUAGAGUCCGGAAGAGGCGAGUGGAAUUCCUGGUGUAGCGGUGAAAUGCGCAGAUAUCAGGAAGAACACCCGUGGCUAAGGCGGCUCUCUAGUACGGUACUGACGCUGAGACGCGAAAGCGUGGGGAGCGAACAGG
RNAcentral lists this ribosomal RNA (253 nucleotides) under uncultured bacterium. RNAcentral describes it as "partial 16S ribosomal RNA". It matches the Rfam family "Bacterial small subunit ribosomal RNA", at positions 524 to 776 of the family's 1533-position model. The record is from RNAcentral.